AGCCUGCGGCGCAGCGGAGGCGGAGCGCAGUCAAGUCUGCAGAGUGGUGCGUCUGUAGCCAGCAAAUUACUUUAUCAUCUAGAUUAUCCAUUCAAUUGAUCCUAAUUAGCAAGGAUAACAAGGUAACACAAGGCUUACUUAUAUUCACCCAACAAAAGUGUCUCUGUGGAGCCACUUCCCAGUGAACUACAUACUGAGAUAGGGGUUCCUGGAUGAGAAGGACCAAGGACAGAACCGAGAAGAGUUUAGGGGCAGGUUAUGCGAGAUGGAAAUGGCGCAGAUAACGGAGGGAAGGAUUUGAGGGCUCAAACGUAGGCGUCUGUGUUUCGCAAAAGUUGGAGACAUUCUAGGCUGCCUCUCGUUGCCUCCAUCUCGCUCUGCGCGGGUUUUGGAGGACAUUAGCAUUCUUUCUUGUAUCUCCGUUGAUUCCAGAAUCGUCCGCACUUCAGUCCCCUGCAGCGUGACCAUGUCGAGACCCCGGAAGAGGCUGGCUGGGACUUCUGGUUCAGACAAGGGACUAUCAGGAAAACGCACCAAAACUGAGAACUCAGGUGAGGCAUUAGCUAAAGUGGAGGACUCCAACCCUCAGAAGACUUCAGCCACUAAAAACUGUUUGGAGAAUCUAAGCAGCCACUGGCUGAUGAAGUCAGAGCCAGAGAGCCGCCUAGAGAAAGGUGUAGAUGUGAAGUUCAGCAUUGAGGAUCUCAAAGCACAGCCCAAACAGACAACAUGCUGGGAUGGUGUUCGUAACUACCAGGCUCGGAACUUCCUUAGAGCCAUGAAGCUGGGAGAAGAAGCCUUCUUCUACCAUAGCAACUGCAAAGAGCCAGGCAUCGCAGGACUCAUGAAGAUCGUGAAAGAGGCUUACCCAGACCACACACAGUUUGAGAAAAACAAUCCCCAUUAUGACCCAUCUAGCAAAGAGGACAACCCUAAGUGGUCCAUGGUAAAGACUAUGCUUUCUAUUUCAUGACAGGGGAGGGAUGAACCAAGGGAAGAAGACGGUUGGGGUGACUGUAGGUCAAGGUACACAGCCCAGCACUUACUCAGAUGAGGCGAUACUGAUAGGAGC
This 1072-nucleotide small RNA is filed under the name Pan troglodytes (chimpanzee). RNAcentral describes it as "retained intron". The record is from RNAcentral. Lineage: Eukaryota; Metazoa; Chordata; Mammalia; Primates; Hominidae.